UAGGGAAUCUUCCGCAAUGGACGAACGUCUGACGGAGCAACGCCGCGUGAGUGAAGAAGGAUUUCGGUUCGUAAAACUCUGUUGUUAGGGAAGAAAAAAUGUAUAGUAACUAUAUACAAAAGAGACGGUACCUAACCAGAAAGCCACGGCUAACUACGUGCCAGCAGCCGCGGUAAUACGUAGGUGGCAAGCGUUGUCCGGAAUUAUUGGGCGUAAAGCGCGCGCAGGUGGUUUAGAAAGUCUGAUGUGAAAGCCCACGGCUCAACCGUGGAGGGUCAUUGGAAACUAAUAAACUUGAGUGCAGGAGAGAAAAGUGGAAUUCCUAGUGUAGCGGUGAAAUGCGUAGAGAUUAGGAGGAACACCGGUGGCGAAAGCGGCUUUUUGGCCUGCAACUGACACUGAGGCGCGAAAGCGUGGGGAGCAAACAGG
RNAcentral lists this ribosomal RNA (429 nucleotides) under Verrucomicrobiota bacterium. Its description in RNAcentral is "Verrucomicrobia bacterium partial 16S ribosomal RNA". It matches the Rfam family "Bacterial small subunit ribosomal RNA", at positions 355 to 776 of the family's 1533-position model. Lineage: Bacteria; Pseudomonadati; Verrucomicrobiota. The record is from RNAcentral.